This 497-nucleotide ribosomal RNA is filed under the name uncultured bacterium. RNAcentral's name for it is "partial 16S ribosomal RNA". It matches the Rfam family "Bacterial small subunit ribosomal RNA", at positions 28 to 507 of the family's 1533-position model. The record is from RNAcentral.
GACGAACGCUGGCGGCGUGCCUAAUACAUGCAAGUUGAGCGCUGAAGGUUGGUACUUGUACCAACUGGAUGAGCAGCGAACGGGUGAGUAACGCGUGGGGAAUCUGCCUUUGAGCGGGGGACAACAUUUGGAAACGAAUGCUAAUACCGCAUAAAAACUUUAAACACAAGUUUUAAGUUUGAAAGAUGCAAUUGCAUCACUCAAAGAUGAUCCCGCGUUGUAUUAGCUAGUUGGUGAGGUAAAGGCUCACCAAGGCGAUGAUACAUAGCCGACCUGAGAGGGUGAUCGGCCACAUUGGGACUGAGACACGGCCCAAACUCCUACAGGAGGCAGCAGUAGGGAAUCUUCGGCAAUGGACGAAAGUCUGACCGAGCAACGCCGCGUGAGUGAAGAAGGUUUUCGGAUCGUAUAACUCUGUUGGUAGAGAAGAACGUUGGUGAGAGUGGAAAGCUCAUCAAGUGACGGUAACUACCCAGAAAGGGACGGCUAACUACGUG